This 207-nucleotide ribosomal RNA is filed under the name uncultured bacterium. RNAcentral describes it as "partial 16S ribosomal RNA". It matches the Rfam family "Bacterial small subunit ribosomal RNA", at positions 568 to 774 of the family's 1533-position model. The record is from RNAcentral.
CGCGUAGGCGGCGCGAUAAGUCGGGUGUGAAAUCCCGGAGCUCAACUCCGGGGCUGCAUCCGAUACUGUCGUGCUCGAGCCUGGUAGAGGCGAGUGGAAUUCCCGGUGUAGCGGUGGAAUGCGUAGAUAUCGGGAAGAACACCAGUGGCGAAGGCGGCUCGCUGGGCCAGUGCUGACGCUGAGGCGCGAAAGCGUGGGGAGCAAACA